GAGGGGAAUCGUGGGUUUAUCUGUCUGGAAUAACCUCAAGACAUGGAUAUUUCAUGUAUAUCUGAAGACCACCUUCCCAGAGAAUGAGAGCGCUCUCUAGUGGUCACAACUAACUAAAGAACUACACUACAGCACUUUUGACAAGGGCUUGACUGGACUGAUUACGCGGUCACCACACCCCGAACCCUUUCCUUCACAUGAUGCCUCGGGCUACAACGCCACACCCCACGAAAGUGCUCCCCCUCCUGAGUGGGACGGUCUCUGUGCAGGUGGGACAGCGGAACCACAGGACCCAAAUUAUAAUUAUGCUCUUUGAGCACAUCCAGACCUUACCGUAGUAAAAGCCUUUCUCACAGGGGCCUGCGAGAUCCGGAUCUGUCCUGCAAUGAAGAACUGUAUGUGUGUUGGAACAUACUGACUCAAUGAAUCACCAGUCAGCUUUAUUUACAAGAAACUGUCAUGCUUUUGAAAAUGAAACAAUAACUUUAGAUACCAGCUUAUUAUAUCCUUUCAUGCUGCGUAACAAUUUUCCAGCUUUCCAUAGUUGAACGAACUUGUGUUCAUUCUUUAAACAACGUAAACAUUCAUCUAAAGCCACAGAGCACAUUUUAUUAUCACAUGUGACAAUGUUGCAUGUAAAUACAUUUGUGUCACCCUGGAGCAUAAAAGCAGUCUUUAGUCGCAGGGGUAUAUUUGCAGCAAUAGCCAAAAACCAAUACAUUUCAAAAUUAUCAAAAUUAUCCAUUUUUCUUUUAAGCCAAAAAUCAUUAGGAAAUUAAGUCAAGAUCAUGUUCCAUGAAGAUAUUUUGUAAAUUUCCCACCAUAAAUAUAUCAAAACCUAAUUUUUGAUUAGUAAUAUUCAUUGCUAAGAACUUCAUUUGGACAACUUUAAAGGCGACUUUGUCACAUGUGAUAAUAAAAAGUGCUCUGUGACUUUAUAUGAAUGUUCACAUUGUUUAAAGAAUAAUAAAAAUGUAAUAUUUAGUGGUUUUCAUGCAACAAAAAUGAGAUUACAUGGAGAAUAAACUGAAACUUUAUCUUAUGCAAGUUUGAGUAAUUUUACAGCUGUUUUCCAACAGUUUCAACAAUUAUG
Cyprinus carpio carpio is the source of this 1093-nucleotide long non-coding RNA. Lineage: Eukaryota; Metazoa; Chordata; Actinopteri; Cypriniformes; Cyprinidae. The record is from Ensembl.